RNAcentral lists this ribosomal RNA (275 nucleotides) under uncultured Peredibacter sp. RNAcentral describes it as "partial 16S ribosomal RNA". It matches the Rfam family "Bacterial small subunit ribosomal RNA", at positions 338 to 605 of the family's 1533-position model. The record is from RNAcentral. Lineage: Bacteria; Pseudomonadati; Bdellovibrionota; Bacteriovoracia; Bacteriovoracales; Bacteriovoracaceae.
CCUACGGGUGGCUGCAGUAGGGAAUAUUGCGCAAUGGGGGAAACCCUGACGCAGCAACGCCGCGUGAGUGAGGAAGGUCUUCGGAUUGUAAAACUCUUUUUUUAGGGAAAAAUGGUUAGAGAGCUAAUACCCUCUGAUUUGAUGGUACCUAAAGAAUAAGCACCGGCUAACUUCGUGCCAGCAGCCGCGGUAAUACGAAGGGUGCAAGCGUUGUUCGGAUUUAUUGGGCGUAAAGCGCGCGCAGGCGGAUCAGCAAGUCAGAUGUGAAAUCUCAG